GCCACACAGGCUGGCAAAUGUAGGAACCAGAUAAAUCCAGGUUGGUGACCCCAUUGGCAAAAGGGGGCCUUAAUCAGUGUGCCCCAGGGGUUUGCCUUGUGUCCAGACACUGUUCUAACUGCUCUGUGAACAUUCAGACAGUCAAGCAGUUCCUAAGAGCAGUGACGACCACAGCUGCUAGCCUGGCCGUCCAUACUUCCAUAGACUCAGCCACAUCACUACGGCACCAACCUCAACUCUCAGGUGACUUUCUCCAGAGUUGAUGUGACCUUAGGGAGGACCAGCCAGCUCAACGUCCCCUCCCUGAAGACCCUGAGGAAAGGUUCCUGGUCUGCAUGACUGACAGCAACUCUCUGACAUGCUGAGCUGGUCCCAAUUGAGAAAAGCCCUGAGCCUCUCCAAAGCCUCAGCACCUGGGGUCCUUGAGCUGCCCCAGGUGGAGGCUGAACAUGGAGGGGAAUUCAUCUGCUGAGCUCAGAAUCCACUGGGAUCCCAGCAUGUUUCCUUCAGCCUCUCUGUGAUGUCCCAGCUCAGCAGGCAAGCAGGAAAGGAACGAAUCCUCUCUUCUUCUGCUAUUGUUCUAUCCAGGCUCUCAGCAGAUUUGAUGAUGUCCAUCAGCAUGGGAGAUGGAAACCUAUGUUAUUGAGUCCACGGAUUCAAAUGAUAAUCUCAUAUCUCAGUUUCAUCUCUGGAAACACCUUCACAGACACAUCCAGAAAGAAGGUUUACUCUGGUCAUCCCAUGGCCCCAUCAAGUUGAGCCAUAAAAUUAACCAUCACACUGGCCCUGGAGGUCAAUGUUCAGCUUAUUCACACAGACAAACAGACAGACACACAGCUGGGCACAUUCUGAGUACUGAGAUGGGCCAUUUCCUGACCUUCACCCUGGGGAAGAUGAGGCUCCUGUGAAUAGGCAAAUUGUCCUAGUUAUCAAAUCACAGAGAUGCUGGGACAAUGUCUUAGCAAGAGAGAAGUACCAAGGAUGCUCUUUUCCUGGAUCCUUUGCAUGUCACUGUAAACCUCUCCCCAGGCCACUGUGUCUUUCUGGGUCACCAAUCCAUGUACCAAGUGUUGAUGGUCCUUGCCCACUGAGGUCCAGCCUGUGGCUUUCCCCAACACCCCCCUUGCUUCCUAGCAGUAGAACAAAUAUUCUGUCAUGCCAGCAAGGUGAGCCAACAGAUCAGCAAUGAUGUGAGAGCUACAAUAGCAACGGCCCCUCCACUGACCCUCAGAGCCUGGUGGCUGCUGCUUCGAGUUCUCCCUUCUCUUGUCAUCAAUAGGGAAGGGAAUUCUGGGAAAUGUAGUUCCAGCCCGGCAAAGCCUCCACAGGCAUCUUCACUGAAGGCUUCAAAUCACCAUUUAAAUGUCAUCCUUUAAAUACAAUAAUUGGAAAUAUUCAUCAGACAUAAGAUCCCUGUUCUAUGUGAUCUGGCCUCUCCACGGAGCUGCAGACGUCUCCAAAGUCAGUGCUCAGCUCUGGAUCAGAACCACGGACAGAGCCAUCACGGGAGCUCCAGGUGCCAGGGCACCUGUUGUCUUCACACUGGACAGUGACCCUCAGGACAUCGACCAGAGCUGGUGUGCGACCUUGGGAGCAGAGAGGCGAUGCUCACCACAUGGAUGCUGAGGAAGUGAGGACAGUUAGUCUCCCUCAUCUCCUGUGUUCCUGAGUCCUUCCCCUGGACGGACCAACCUCCACUGACAUCUACAGUCUCCCUGACCCACACACCUGACAUCCUCAUCCUGGAGACCUGGAGUCCAGCCACCCCAGGAACCUGACCUGCUCUGUGCCCUGGGUCUGUGUGUGGGGCACACCCCCCAUCUUCUCCUGGACAUCAGCUGCCCUCACUUCUAUGGGCCCCAGGACCCAAUUCUCCUCGGUGCUCACCCUCACCCCAUGGCCCCAGGACCAUGGCAUUAACCUCACCUGUCAGGUGAAGUUUCCCAUGGCUGGUGUGAUGAUGGAGAGAACUACCCAGCUCAACAUCACCUGUGCUCCAUAGAACCCAGAAGUGGGUGUCUGUCUAGCGGAUGGCACAGGUAAUAUAUUCACCUGGCCAAAAUUUCAAAAUGCACAGCAGAGUCUGUCUUCAGAUGCCCAGUCUCCUCCUGGGAAGUGACCAGUGUCCAUAGGCUGCUCUGAGCCUUGAUUUGUUCACCUAAAGGAUCUUAGGGGUCAUUUGACAUCAGUGGUACAGAAGUCGUCAUGCGUCCGUGACUGUGCAGGAUUCCAUGGCCUGGAUGGAUUCUGAUUCUGUACACACCUUCUGCUAAUACAAAAUUCCUGGCAUUAAGUUAUUCUACCAAUAAAAAAGCUGCAAUCAGUAA
Long non-coding RNA from Equus asinus (donkey), 2327 nucleotides. The record is from Ensembl. NCBI's taxonomy places the organism in Eukaryota, Metazoa, Chordata, Mammalia, Perissodactyla, Equidae.